Molecule: ribosomal RNA, 406 nt
Filed under: uncultured bacterium
Lineage: Bacteria
Description: partial 16S ribosomal RNA
Rfam family: Bacterial small subunit ribosomal RNA
Source: RNAcentral
AUUGAACGCUGGCGGCAGGCCUAACACAUGCAAGUCGAACGAGUGGCGGACGGGUGAGUAAUGUCUGGGAAACUGCCUGAUGGAGGGGGAUAACUACUGGAAACGGUAGCUAAUACCGCAUACCAUCAGAUGUGCCCAGAUGGGAUUAGCUAGUUGGUGGGGUAACGGCUCACCAAGGCGACGAUCCCUAGCUGGCCUGAGAGGAUGACCGACCACACGGGAACGGAGAGACGGUCCAGAUUCCUACGGGAGGCAGCAGUGGGGAAUAUUGCACAAUGGGGGCAAUGCUGAUGCAGCCAUGCGGCGUGUAUGAAGAAGGCCUUCGGGUUGUAAAGUACUUUCAGCGGGGAGGCGUUACCCACAGAAGAAGCACCGGCUAACUCCGUGCCAGCAGCCGCGGUAAUUC